Molecule: ribosomal RNA, 1455 nt
Filed under: Collinsella aerofaciens ATCC 25986
Lineage: Bacteria; Bacillati; Actinomycetota; Coriobacteriia; Coriobacteriales; Coriobacteriaceae
Description: 16S ribosomal RNA
Rfam family: Bacterial small subunit ribosomal RNA
Source: RNAcentral
AGAGUUUGAUCCUGGCUCAGGAUGAACGCUGGCGGCGCGCCUAACACAUGCAAGUCGAACGGCACCCCUCUCCGGAGGGAAGCGAGUGGCGAACGGCUGAGUAACACGUGGAGAACCUGCCCCCUCCCCCGGGAUAGCCGCCCGAAAGGACGGGUAAUACCGGAUACCCCGGGGUGCCGCAUGGCGCCCCGGCUAAAGCCCCGACGGGAGGGGAUGGCUCCGCGGCCCAUCAGGUAGACGGCGGGGUGACGGCCCACCGUGCCGACAACGGGUAGCCGGGUUGAGAGACCGACCGGCCAGAUUGGGACUGAGACACGGCCCAGACUCCUACGGGAGGCAGCAGUGGGGAAUCUUGCGCAAUGGGGGGAACCCUGACGCAGCGACGCCGCGUGCGGGACGGAGGCCUUCGGGUCGUAAACCGCUUUCAGCAGGGAAGAGUCAAGACUGUACCUGCAGAAGAAGCCCCGGCUAACUACGUGCCAGCAGCCGCGGUAAUACGUAGGGGGCGAGCGUUAUCCGGAUUCAUUGGGCGUAAAGCGCGCGUAGGCGGCCCGGCAGGCCGGGGGUCGAAGCGGGGGGCUCAACCCCCCGAAGCCCCCGGAACCUCCGCGGCUUGGGUCCGGUAGGGAGGGUGGAACACCGGGUGUAGCGGUGGAAUGCGCAGAUAUCGGGUGGAACACCGAUGGCGAAGGCGGCCCUCUGGGCCAAGACCGACGCUGAGGCGCGAAAGCUGGGGGAGCGAACAGGAUUAGAUACCCUGGUAGUCCCAGCCGUAAACGAUGGACGCUAGGUGUGGGGGGACGAUCCCCCCGUGCCGCAGCCAACGCAUUAAGCGUCCCGCCUGGGGAGUACGGCCGCAAGNUAAAACUCAAAGGAAUUGACGGGGGCCCGCACAAGCAGCGGAGCAUGUGGCUUAAUUCGAAGCAACGCGAAGAACCUUACCAGGGCUUGACAUAUGGGUGAAGCGGGGGAGACCCGUGGCCGAGAGGAGCCCAUACAGGUGGUGCAUGGCUGUCGUCAGCUCGUGUCGUGAGAUGUUGGGUUAAGUCCCGCAACGAGCGCAACCCCCGCCGCGUGUUGCCAUCGGGUGAUGCCGGGAACCCACGCGGGACCGCCGCCGUCAAGGGGAGGAGGGCCGGGACGACGUCAAGUCAUCAUGCCCCUUAUGCCCUGGGCUGCACACGUGCUACAAUGGCCGGUACAGAGGGAUGCCACCCCGCGAGGGGAGCGGAUCCCGGAAAGCCGGCCCCAGUUCGGAUUGGGGGCUGCAACCCGCCCCCAUGAAGUCGGAGUUGCUAGUAAACGCGGAUCAGCAUGCCGCGGUGAAUGCGUUCCCGGGCCUUGUACACACCGGCCGUCACACCACCCGAGUCGUCUGCACCCGAAGUCGCCGGCCCAACCGAGAGGGGGGAAGCGCCGAAGGUGUGGAAGGUUAAGGGGGUUAAGUCGUAACAA